GGACUACUAGGGUUUCUAAUCCUGUUUGCUACCCACGCUUUCGUGUCUCAGCGUCAACAAUGGUCCAGAAAGCCGUCUACACCGCAGGUGUUCCUCCUGAUAUCUACGCAUUUCACCGCUACACCAGGAAUUCCGCUUUCCUCUCCCACGUUCGAGCACUACAGUUUUCGGCGCACCCUCCCAGUUAAGCCGGGAGAUUUCACACCGAACUUGUAGCACCGCCUACACACUCUUUACGCCCAGUAAUUCCGAACAACGCUCGCUGCCUACGUAUUACCGCGGCUGCUGGCAC
This 292-nucleotide ribosomal RNA is filed under the name uncultured Acidobacteriota bacterium. Its description in RNAcentral is "uncultured Acidobacteria bacterium partial 16S ribosomal RNA". Lineage: Bacteria; Pseudomonadati; Acidobacteriota. The record is from RNAcentral.